Long non-coding RNA from Homo sapiens (human), 311 nucleotides. RefSeq lists it as uncharacterized. The transcript has 3 exons. NCBI's taxonomy places the organism in Eukaryota, Metazoa, Chordata, Mammalia, Primates, Hominidae. The record is from RefSeq and is a predicted model, not a curated record.
CAAAAGUCUGGUUUCCUUCCUAAUCCUCGCUGGAGCAUUCCCCGUGCUGCUGACCGAAGAGUUGUACUAUCUGCCCUGAGGACGCACACCCUAUAGCCUGGGAUGGACCUACCUGGCAAUGGCCUUGUAUAGACUAAUGGAGUCAGCCAAUCACAGAUGAGGACCCUGGAGCUCAGAAGGACAUGUGAUCAGCUGACCCAGCUCCUGGUCUCUAAUCCAGGGAUGGCAAAGGGCACCAUGAGUGGAGAACAUCUCCAGAUGAGGUCACCAGUGGCCCUCCUGACCCCCGGCAUCUGACUGUUUGAGCGAAG